GAUGAACGCUGGCGGCGUGCCUAAUACAUGCAAGUCGAGCGAACGGACGAGAAGCUUGCUUCUCUGAUGUUAGCGGCGGACGGGUGAGUAACACGUGGAUAACCUACCUAUAAGACUGGGAUAACUUCGGGAAACCGGAGCUAAUACCGGAUGAUAUUUUGAACCGCAUGGUUCAAAAGUGAAAGACGGUCUUGCUGUCACUUAUAGAUGGAUCCGCGCUGCAUUAGCUAGUUGGUAAGGUAACGGCUUACCAAGGCAACGAUGCAUAGCCGACCUGAGAGGGUGAUCGGCCAGACUGGAACGGAGACACGGUCCAGACUCCUACGGGAGGCAGCAGUAGGGAAUCGUCCGCAAUGGGCGAAAGCCUGACGGAGCAACGCCGCGUGAGUGAUGAAGGUCUUCGGAUCGUAAAACUCUGUUAUUAGGGAAGAACAUAUGUGUAAGUAACUGUGCACAUCUUGACGGUACCUAAUCAGAAAGCCACGGCUAACUACGUG
This 497-nucleotide ribosomal RNA is filed under the name uncultured bacterium. RNAcentral describes it as "partial 16S ribosomal RNA". It matches the Rfam family "Bacterial small subunit ribosomal RNA", at positions 28 to 507 of the family's 1533-position model. The record is from RNAcentral.